AGGAGUGGUUGGCUCACGUGGGAGCUCGUGGGCCCUGGCCCAGCUGAUUAAAACCCAUUGCCAAGGCUGCCGGGAAGGGGCAGAGCGUGGGGUCAGCAAACACCGCGUGGGGCAAUAACUUGGAAUUCAGAGUCAGCUUGGAGCAAUCGAGAUAGCGGCCAGAUUCAACUUGCAGCUCCGCCUGGGAGACCUGAUGCAGCACGUGGCCAUCCAGAAGGCAACAAGCUCUGCGAGGGAAGCUCUUCUAAUUACUUUUCAAUGGAAAGAACAUUUGGUAACCAGCACCGUACCUUGCAAUCAUCAGCUGCCACUUCUGGCCUGAGCUGCCCGUCUGCCUCAAACAUCUGCCCGUUCCAGGCCCUGAAGCGCAAAGCGUUUUCCGAAGGUCUCUCAGAGGAGCCGUCCCGCCAGACCGAGGUGUUCAGGCAGUGGAUGGUGAUGUGCUGCACCACCUCCGAGCUCAGGAGGCGGAGGAAGUUCAUCUGGACUCUACCGAUGUCAAAAUCCAGCUGUGGGGGUGACAGAUGUUAGGAUGUACCCCCAGAGCGGGGCUAGUGGGGGGGUUAGGGAUGGGACGGCAAAGGUGGGCCCUGUGCUCUGCUUUGGUCCGGAGGUGAGUGUGCACACAUGUCCAGAGCUGGACCUGGUGUGAGUGUGGCCAUAAGGGCCAGACGCCAAGUCAAUUUAGGAAGUUUUCAUGAGGACACAGCAGGUCCUUUAUUUUUCAGAACAAACUGGUAGGUCCUUAAAUAGGGGGAAAAAAACAUGCACUUUGAAUUAAACACACGCUUCUGUAAAGCAGCAGGUUCUAGUUCAUCUGCAGAUGAACCCAGACAUUGUUAUUAAUGCUUUCGGUACAGGUGCUUCCUCAUUAAAAACCUUGUAGCAUUAACUUCCCUGGAAAUUGUAUAUUUACGCUGACCUCACUCUUUCAGGUGGCAGAAAACAAAAUGCAAGAGUGACCUGAACACAAGUUAAUUCAACAAAGCAGUUGGGAGCAGCAUGUUUGCAAAAUUACUGGCCUCUGUUAAGGUUACGGGUUAAUUAAACAUUGCUGGAAAAGCA
Molecule: long non-coding RNA, 1065 nt
Organism: Columba livia (rock pigeon)
Lineage: Eukaryota; Metazoa; Chordata; Aves; Columbiformes; Columbidae
Exons: 3
Source: RefSeq, a predicted model, not a curated record